This 482-nucleotide ribosomal RNA is filed under the name uncultured Desulfobulbus sp. RNAcentral's name for it is "bacterial SSU rRNA". It matches the Rfam family "Bacterial small subunit ribosomal RNA", at positions 903 to 1382 of the family's 1533-position model. Lineage: Bacteria; Pseudomonadati; Thermodesulfobacteriota; Desulfobulbia; Desulfobulbales; Desulfobulbaceae. The record is from RNAcentral.
AAAGGAAUUGACGGGGCCCGCACAAGCGGUGGAGUAUGUGGUUAAUUCGAUGCAACGCGAAGAACCUUACCUGGUCUUGACAUCCCGGAGACCCUUAGGAAACUAGGGGUGCUUCCAUCUGGAAGAAUCUGGAGACAGGUGCUGCAUGGCUGUCGUCAGCUCGUGUCGUGAGAUGUUGGGUUAAGUCCCGCAACGAGCGCAACCCUUGCCUUUAGUUGCCAGCAGUUCGGCUGGGCACUCUAAAGGGACUGCCGGUGUUAAACCGGAGGAAGGUGGGAAUGACGUCAAGUCCUCAUGGCCUUUAUGACCAGGGCUACACACGUACUACAAUGGCCGAUACAAAGGGCAGCGACACUGCGAGGUGAAGCCAAUCCCGUAAAAUCGGUCUCAGUCCGGAUUGGAGUCUGCAACUCGACUCCAUGAAGUUGGAAUCGCUAGUAAUCGUGGAUCAGCAUGCCACGGUGAAUACGUUCCCGGGCCUU